RNAcentral lists this ribosomal RNA (620 nucleotides) under uncultured bacterium. RNAcentral describes it as "bacterial SSU rRNA". It matches the Rfam family "Bacterial small subunit ribosomal RNA", at positions 423 to 1032 of the family's 1533-position model. The record is from RNAcentral.
UUGUAAAGCUCUUUCAGCUGGAACGAAACGGUGCGCUCUAACAUAGCGCGCUAAUGACGGUACCAGCAGAAGAAGCACCGGCUAACUACGUGCCAGCAGCCGCGGUAAUACGUAGGGUGCGAGCGUUAAUCGGAAUUACUGGGCGUAAAGCGUGCGCAGGCGGAUUGUUAAGCAAGAUGUGAAAUCCCCGGGCUUAACCUGGGAAUGGCAUUUUGAACUGGCAGUCUAGAGUGUGUCAGAGGGGGGUGGAAUUCCACGUGUAGCAGUGAAAUGCGUAGAGAUGUGGAGGAACACCGAUGGCGAAGGCAGCCCCCUGGGAUAACACUGACGCUCAUGUACGAAAGCGUGGGUAGCAAACAGGAUUAGAUACCCUGGUAGUCUACGCCCUAAACGAUGUCAACUGGUUGUUGGGGGAGUGAAAUCCCUUAGUAACGAAGCUAACGCGUGAAGUUGACCGCCUGGGGAGUACGGUCGCAAGAUUAAAACUCAAAGGAAUUGACGGGGACCCGCACAAGCGGUGGAUGAUGUGGAUUAAUUCGAUGCAACGCGAAAAACCUUACCUACCCUUGACAUGUCCGGAAUCCUGCAGAGAUGCGGGAGUGCCCGAAAGGGAAUCGGAA